This 51-nucleotide transfer RNA is filed under the name Oncotheca balansae. RNAcentral's name for it is "partial transfer RNA-Val". Lineage: Eukaryota; Viridiplantae; Streptophyta; Magnoliopsida; Oncothecales; Oncothecaceae. RNAcentral also lists the same sequence under 1 other name. The record is from RNAcentral.
AGGGCUAUAGCUCAGUUAGGUAGAGCACCUCGUUUACACCGAGAAUGUCUA